GACGAACGCUGGCGGCGUGCUUAACACAUGCAAGUCGAACGGAAAGGCCCUGCUUUUGUGGGGUGCUCGAGUGGCGAACGGGUGAGUAACACGUGAGUAACCUGCCCUUGACUUUGGGAUAACUUCAGGAAACUGGGGCUAAUACCGGAUAGGAGCUCCUGCUGCAUGGUGGGGGUUGGAAAGUUUCGGCGGUUGGGGAUGGACUCGCGGCUUAUCAGCUUGUUGGUGGGGUAGUGGCUUACCAAGGCUUUGACGGGUAGCCGGCCUGAGAGGGUGACCGGCCACAUUGGGACUGAGAUACGGCCAAGACUCAUACGGGGGGAAUCGGUGGGAAAUAUUGCAAAAAGGGCGGAAGCCGGAUGCAGCAACGCCGGGUGGGGGAUGACGGCCUUCGGGUUAUAAACCGCUUGCGCCUGUGACGAAGCGUGAGUGACGGUAAUGGGUAAAGAAGCAACGGCUAACUACGUG
Molecule: ribosomal RNA, 468 nt
Filed under: uncultured bacterium
Lineage: Bacteria
Description: partial 16S ribosomal RNA
Rfam family: Bacterial small subunit ribosomal RNA
Source: RNAcentral